RNAcentral lists this long non-coding RNA (1502 nucleotides) under Gopherus evgoodei (Goodes thornscrub tortoise). RNAcentral's name for it is "lncRNA (ENSGEVG00005012641.1)". The record is from RNAcentral. Lineage: Eukaryota; Metazoa; Chordata; Testudines; Testudinidae.
CCAGCCACUCACAGCAGUCUCCUGCCACAGAUGUAGAUAAAUAUGAUUACCUGCCCCCAACCUCCCUGCUCUCCUGUUAGUGUCAGCGGUGGGAUCAGACCAGAGUCCCAGCCACUAAACCAGGCCCAGCGCCCAGGUGCCUAUGCCCAGGACUGGGGCAUGACCCUCGCACCAGAGUCCCUUGAUGGAUGGGUCACUUCCUGCAUGACUAUCCCCUGCUCCUUCACCUACCCUACAGGGUGGACGGUCAGGGCCGUGAGCUGGACACGGGACAGGGAUCAAACCGUGUAUCAUUUGGAUGAGGCUCGUGUCCACGCUGACUUCAAGGGGCACGUCCGCUAUCUGGGGGACCUGCAGCACAACUGCUCCCCGCGUGUGGCAGGGCUGCACCACAGCGAUCAGGGCACCUACCGCUUCUGAUUUGAGACAAUCGGUGAUGUCAAGAAUGACAGCUGGACGACUUAUCCAGGACAGCGACUCGUGUCUUUGGUAAUCAGGUUCCUUCCAGCAGCCCCAGUUCAACACAGGGACCUUGGAUAACCUCAGAUAGGACACUACACACGAGUGCGCAGACACAGAGCAGGAUUCGUCCCCUCCAGCUGGGGGCAGCAGGGACACACACACCCUUUCUGCCUUGCUCUGAAAUCCAAGUGGUUAGAGCUGGGAGCCAGGACUCCUGGGUUCUCUCCCCAACUUUAGGGGACGGGGUGGGGUGGAGAGGGAGAGUGGUUAAAGCAGCGGGGACUUGUGGGUUAGACUCCUGGGCUGUGUUGUCAGACCCGCGUCCCCGUCACUCUGUCUAACCCUGGGCCUGUGCUGAAGAGCCGCUGAGACUGACCCUGCAGCCAGCGUAAUGCAGCAGGCGUGAGGGGCUAUCAGGCGGAGCCCGAUAGUGGGACUGGGACCCUGCAGGACCCCCUGGCAGAAGAGAGGGAGCAGGUAAAAUGUGCUUUGUUGGUGGUGGGUUCGGGUGGGCAAAAAACCCAGGCUGUGGUAAUUGGUGGGCAAACACUAAAUCUGAUAAAUGUACCAAGAGUCGCCUAUUGGGGAAAUUGCUAAAUGUUUUGUGUGAGCUUCUCUUUCCUCUCCACGUUUCUCUCCCUCGCUCCAAACCUGGGGAAAUGCACUGGCCCAAGGCAGGUCAGAGAUGCAUUCUGUGUGUUUGUACCUGGUUCAUGCAAGAUUUGUUUUAUUCUUUUAGUGGUAAAAAUUGGGUCUGAAUUCCAUUGGUAUCGAUCAUAUCUUCACCUACCGGUUUUUGUCGGUUGGUUGGUUUUUAGCAGCUUGGGGGAAUCUGUCUCUCUUGCAGGAUUUGCAGGAUCGAAGGUUUUUGUGGCUGGAGGGGGAUGAAAAUGCAAAAUCCAAAGCCAGGCACUUGAAUAACAGGAAUGGGACAGAAUUCAAAACAGUCCCAUUUAGGGCUCUGGUGUGAGGCCCGAUGUGUGGUGCCCCCCACUGGCGGCUGCCCCCUCUGGGCAGACCCAGCGCUCCCCGUGUCUCAG